GUUCAAUCCUCGGUCAGAACGAACCGUCCGGGGACGGUCGUCACCCGGAAGUCGAACCCCCCGGAAGGGGAGUCGGAGACGGGUGAGUAACCGGUGGGUUACUACCGUACCCUACUGUUAAACCCGGGGAACGGUGUCGUUUAACCGUAUACCCCGUUAGGGGGAAAGAUUUAUCGGGGUCCGGGGACCCCGGGUUGGAUUACGUAGUUGGUGGGGUAAACCGGUACCAACGGGACGAUCCAUACGUGGUCUGAGACGGGGAUGACCGACAUUGGGACUGCGACACCCCGGAAACUCCUACGGGACGGACGAGUGGCGAAUAUUGGACACCCGGGGGAACCGUGAUCCACCCCCCGGGGGUGAGUCGGGAAGGUCUUAGGAUUGUAAACGUCUUUCACCGCGGAAGAUACGGACGGUAGUCGGAGAAGAACCCCCGGGUAACUUCGUCCGACGACCCGGGGUUUAACGAACGGGGGUACGGUUGUUCGGUUAUACUCGGGGUAAACCGGACGUACGGGGAUAUUUAAGUCAGGGGUGAUUACCCCGACGUCAACUCGGGAACUCCGUUUGAUACUGGGUAUCUCGAGUCGGGAAGAGGUGAGUGGUUAUCCGAGUGUAGAGGUGAUUAUCGUAGAUAUUCGGAGGAACACCAGCAGGGAACCGGGGUCACUGGUCCAUUACUGACCGUGAGGUCGGCAACGGUGGGGUCGAAACAGGAUUAGAUACCCUGGUAGUCCACCGUGUAAACCGGGACGGUUACCGGUCCGGGACGUUCGUGUUCGGUCCGGGACGUAACCGAUUAAACAUUCCCCGUGGGGAGUACGGUCCGAAGAUUAAAACUCAAAGGUUAUGACCCGCGCGGGGACAACGGGUGGACGAUGUGGUUUUUAUCGAACGAACCCGGAGAACCUUACCACGUCUUGACAUUCGGGGUCCGGGGAGUGGAGACAUUGUCCUUCAGUUCCGGUCCCGGUAGAACAGGUCGUCCCGGGGUGUCGUCACGUCGUGUCGUGACGGGUUGGGUUAAGUCCCCGAACGAGCCGAACCCUCCCCGUUAGUUCCGACGAUUCAGUUCGGGACUCUAAGGGGACUCCGGGUGAUAACCGGAGAGGAAGGUGGGCGGGACGUCAAGUCCUCCCCCGGGUUACCGGGUCGGGCGUCACACGUCGUACACGGGUGUGACAGUCGGGACGGAGACCGCGAGGUCGACGUUUACUCCAAAACCGAUCUCAGUUCGGAUUCGACUCUCGAACUCGAGUCCGGGAAGUUGGUUACCGUAGUUUACCGAGAUCACCCGGGUCGGGUGUUAACGUUCCCCCGGGUUGUACACACCCCCGGUCACACCCGGGGAGUUGGUUUUACCCGAAGGUAGUCCGGUAACCCGAAGGACGGACGUAACCACGGUAGGGUCACGGACUGGGGUGAAGUCGUAACAAGGUACCGGUCUGGGGAACCUCCGGGUGGAACACCUCC
RNAcentral lists this ribosomal RNA (1473 nucleotides) under Rhizobium sp. RNAcentral's name for it is "partial 16S ribosomal RNA". It matches the Rfam family "Bacterial small subunit ribosomal RNA". Lineage: Bacteria; Pseudomonadati; Pseudomonadota; Alphaproteobacteria; Hyphomicrobiales; Rhizobiaceae. The record is from RNAcentral.